GUAUGCUGGAGGUAUCAGAAGUGCGAAUGCUGACAUAAGUAACGAUAAAGCGGGUGAAAAGCCCGCUCGCCGGAAGACCAAGGGUUCCUGUCCAACGUUAAUCGGGGCAGGGUGAGUCGACCCCUAAGGCGAGGCCGAAAGGCGUAGUCGAUGGGAAACAGGUUAAUAUUCCUGUACUUGGUGUUACUGCGAAGGGGGGACGGAGAAGGCUAUGUUGGCCGGGCGACGGUUGUCCCGGUUUAAGCGUGUAGGCUGGUUUUCCAGGCAAAUCCGGAAAAUCAAGGCUGAGGCGUGAUGACGAGGCACUACGGUGCUGAAGCAACAAAUGCCCUGCUUCCAGGAAAAGCCUCUAAGCAUCAGGUAACAUCAAAUCGUACCCCAAACCGACACAGGUGGUCAGGUAGAGAAUACCAAGGCGCUUGAGAGAACUCGGGUGAAGGAACUAGGCAAAAUGGUGCCGUAACU
RNAcentral lists this ribosomal RNA (465 nucleotides) under Escherichia coli. RNAcentral's name for it is "partial 23S ribosomal RNA". It matches the Rfam family "Bacterial large subunit ribosomal RNA", at positions 1268 to 1735 of the family's 2925-position model. The record is from RNAcentral. Lineage: Bacteria; Pseudomonadati; Pseudomonadota; Gammaproteobacteria; Enterobacterales; Enterobacteriaceae.